UUAAGCGACUAAGCGUACACGGUGGAUGCCCUGGCAGUCAGAGGCGAUGAAGGACGUGCUAAUCUGCGAAAAGCGUCGGUAAGGUGAUAUGAACCGUUAUAACCGGCGAUGUCCGAAUGGGGAAACCCAGUGUGAUUCGUCACACUAUCGUUAACUGAAUACAUAGGUUAACGAGGCGAACCGGGGGAACUGAAACAUCUAAGUACCCCGAGGAAAAGAAAUCAACCGAGAUUCCCCCAGUAGCGGCGAGCGAACGGGGAGCAGCCCAGAGUCUGAAUCAGCUUGUGUGUUAGUGGAACGGUCUGGAAAGUCCGACGGUACAGGGUGAUAGUCCCGUACACCAAAAUGCACAGGUUGUGAACUCGAAGAGUAGGGCGGGACACGUGGUAUCCUGUCUGAAUAUGGGGGGACCAUCCUCCAAGGCUAAAUACUCCUGACUGACCGAUAGUGAACCAGUACCGUGAGGGAAAGGCGAAAAGAACCCCGGCGAGGGGAGUGAAAAAGAACCUGAAACCGUGUACGUACAAGCAGUGGGAGCACCUUCGGGUGUGACUGCGUACCUUUUGUAUAAUGGGUCAGCGACUUAUAUUCUGUAGCAAGGUUAACCGUAUAGGGGAGCCGCAGGGAAACCGAGUCUUAACUGGGCGUUAAGUUGCAGGGUAUAGACCCGAAACCCGGUGAUCUAGCCAUGGGCAGGUUGAAGGUUGGGUAACACUAACUGGAGGACCGAACCGACUAAUGUUGAAAAAUUAGCGGAUGACUUGUGGCUGGGGGUGAAAGGCCAAUCAAACCGGGAGAUAGCUGGUUCUCCCCGAAAGCUAUUUAGGUAGCGCCUCGUGAAUUCAUCUUCGGGGGUAGAGCACUGUUUCGGCUAGGGGGGUCAUCCCGACUUACCAACCCGAUGCAAACUACGAAUACCGAAGAAUGUUAUCACGGGAGACACACGGCGGGUGCUAACGUCCGUCGUGAAGAGGGAAACAACCCAGACCGCCAGCUAAGGUCCCAAAGUCAUGGUUAAGUGGGAAACGAUGUGGGAAGGCACAGACAGCCAGGAUGUUGGCUUAGAAGCAGCCAUCAUUUAAAGAAAGCGUAAUAGCUCACUGGUCGAGUCGGCCUGCGCGGAAGAUGUAACGGGGCUAAACCAUGCACCGAAGCUGCGGCAGCGACACUAUGUGUUGUUGGGUAGGGGAGCGUUCUGUAAGCCUGCGAAGGUGACCUGUGAGGGUUGCUGGAGGUAUCAGAAGUGCGAAUGCUGACAUAAGUAACGAUAAAGCGGGUGAAAAGCCCGCUCGCCGGAAGACCAAGGGUUCCUGUCCAACGUUAAUCGGGGCAGGGUGAGUCGACCCCUAAGGCGAGGCCGAAAGGCGUAGUCGAUGGGAAACAGGUUAAUAUUCCUGUACUUGGUGUUACUGCGAAGGGGGGACGGAGAAGGCUAUGUUAGCCGGGCGACGGUUGUCCCGGUUUAAGCAUGUAGGCUGGUUAUCCAGGCAAAUCCGGAUAAUCAAGGCUGAGGUGUGAUGACGAGGCACUACGGUGCUGAAGUAACAAAUGCCCUGCUUCCAGGAAAAGCCUCUAAGCAUCAGGUAACAUCAAAUCGUACCCCAAACCGACACAGGUGGUCAGGUAGAGAAUACCAAGGCGCUUGAGAGAACUCGGGUGAAGGAACUAGGCAAAAUGGUGCCGUAACUUCGGGAGAAGGCACGCUGGUGUGUAGGUGAAGUCCCUGCGGAUGGAGCUGAGACCAGUCGAAGAUACCAGCUGGCUGCAACUGUUUAUUAAAAACACAGCACUGUGCAAACACGAAAGUGGACGUAUACGGUGUGACGCCUGCCCGGUGCCGGAAGGUUAAUUGAUGGGGUUAUCCGUAAGGAGAAGCUCUUGAUCGAAGCCCGGUAAACGGCGGCCGUAACUAUAACGGUCCUAAGGUAGCGAAAUUCCUUGUCGGGUAAGUUCCGACCUGCACGAAUGGCGUAAUGAUGGCCAGGCUGUCUCCACCCGAGACUCAGUGAAAUUGAACUCGCUGUGAAGAUGCAGUGUACCCGCGGCAAGACGGAAAGACCCCGUGAACCUUUACUAUAGCUUGACACUGAACAUUGAGCCUUGAUGUGUAGGAUAGGUGGGAGGCUUUGAAGCGUGGACGCCAGUCUGCGUGGAGCCAACCUUGAAAUACCACCCUUUAAUGUUUGAUGUUCUAACGUUGGCCCCUGACCGGGGUUGCGGACAGUGUCUGGUGGGUAGUUUGACUGGGGCGGUCUCCUCCCAAAGCGUAACGGAGGAGCACGAAGGUUAGCUAAUCCUUGGUCGGACAUCAGGAGGUUAGUGCAAUGGCAUAAGCUAGCUUGACUGCGAGCGUGACGGCGCGAGCAGGUGCGAAAGCAGGUCAUAGUGAUCCGGUGGUUCUGAAUGGAAGGGCCAUCGCUCAACGGAUAAAAGGUACUCCGGGGAUAACAGGCUGAUACCGCCCAAGAGUUCAUAUCGACGGCGGUGUUUGGCACCUCGAUGUCGGCUCAUCACAUCCUGGGGCUGAAGUAGGUCCCAAGGGUAUGGCUGUUCGCCAUUUAAAGUGGUACGCGAGCUGGGUUUAGAACGUCGUGAGACAGUUCGGUCCCUAUCUGCCGUGGGCGCUGGAGAAUUGAGGGGGGCUGCUCCUAGUACGAGAGGACCGGAGUGGACGCAUCACUGGUGUUCGGGUUGUCAUGCCAAUGGCACUGCCCGGUAGCUAAAUGCGGAAGAGAUAAGUGCUGAAAGCAUCUAAGCACGAAACUUGCCCCGAGAUGAGUUCUCCCUGAGACUUUAAGUCUCCUGAAGGAACGUUGAAGACGACGACGUUGAUAGGCCGGGUGUGUAAGCGCAGCGAUGCGUUGAGCUAACCGGUACUAAUGAACCGUGAGGCUUAACCU
This 2900-nucleotide ribosomal RNA is filed under the name Klebsiella pneumoniae. Its description in RNAcentral is "bacterial LSU rRNA". It matches the Rfam family "Bacterial large subunit ribosomal RNA". The record is from RNAcentral. Lineage: Bacteria; Pseudomonadati; Pseudomonadota; Gammaproteobacteria; Enterobacterales; Enterobacteriaceae.